Molecule: non-coding RNA, 23 nt
Filed under: Arabidopsis thaliana (thale cress)
Lineage: Eukaryota; Viridiplantae; Streptophyta; Magnoliopsida; Brassicales; Brassicaceae
Source: RNAcentral
ACAUACCUCCCUCACGCUCAGGA